This 1542-nucleotide ribosomal RNA is filed under the name Escherichia coli. RNAcentral describes it as "bacterial SSU rRNA". It matches the Rfam family "Bacterial small subunit ribosomal RNA". Lineage: Bacteria; Pseudomonadati; Pseudomonadota; Gammaproteobacteria; Enterobacterales; Enterobacteriaceae. The record is from RNAcentral.
AAAUUGAAGAGUUUGAUCAUGGCUCAGAUUGAACGCUGGCGGCAGGCCUAACACAUGCAAGUCGAACGGUAACAGAAAGCAGCUUGCUGCUUUGCUGACGAGUGGCGGACGGGUGAGUAAUGUCUGGGAAACUGCCUGAUGGAGGGGGAUAACUACUGGAAACGGUAGCUAAUACCGCAUAACGUCGCAAGACCAAAGAGGGGGACCUUCGGGCCUCUUGCCAUCGGAUGUGCCCAGAUGGGAUUAGCUUGUUGGUGGGGUAACGGCUCACCAAGGCGACGAUCCCUAGCUGGUCUGAGAGGAUGACCAGCCACACUGGAACUGAGACACGGUCCAGACUCCUACGGGAGGCAGCAGUGGGGAAUAUUGCACAAUGGGCGCAAGCCUGAUGCAGCCAUGCCGCGUGUAUGAAGAAGGCCUUCGGGUUGUAAAGUACUUUCAGCGGGGAGGAAGGGAGUAAAGUUAAUACCUUUGCUCAUUGACGUUACCCGCAGAAGAAGCACCGGCUAACUCCGUGCCAGCAGCCGCGGUAAUACGGAGGGUGCAAGCGUUAAUCGGAAUUACUGGGCGUAAAGCGCACGCAGGCGGUUUGUUAAGUCAGAUGUGAAAUCCCCGGGCUCAACCUGGGAACUGCAUCUGAUACUGGCAAGCUUGAGUCUCGUAGAGGGGGGUAGAAUUCCAGGUGUAGCGGUGAAAUGCGUAGAGAUCUGGAGGAAUACCGGUGGCGAAGGCGGCCCCCUGGACGAAGACUGACGCUCAGGUGCGAAAGCGUGGGGAGCAAACAGGAUUAGAUACCCUGGUAGUCCACGCCGUAAACGAUGUCGACUUGGAGGCUGUGCCCUUGAGGCGUGGCUUCCGGAGCUAACGCGUUAAGUCGACCGCCUGGGGAGUACGGCCGCAAGGUUAAAACUCAAAUGAAUUGACGGGGGCCCGCACAAGCGGUGGAGCAUGUGGUUUAAUUCGAUGCAACGCGAAGAACCUUACCUGGUCUUGACAUCCACAGAACUUUCCAGAGAUGGAUUGGUGCCUUCGGGAACUGUGAGACAGGUGCUGCAUGGCUGUCGUCAGCUCGUGUUGUGAAAUGUUGGGUUAAGUCCCGCAACGAGCGCAACCCUUAUCCUUUGUUGCCAGCGGUCCGGCCGGGAACUCAAAGGAGACUGCCAGUGAUAAACUGGAGGAAGGUGGGGAUGACGUCAAGUCAUCAUGGCCCUUACGACCAGGGCUACACACGUGCUACAAUGGCGCAUACAAAGAGAAGCGACCUCGCGAGAGCAAGCGGACCUCAUAAAGUGCGUCGUAGUCCGGAUUGGAGUCUGCAACUCGACUCCAUGAAGUCGGAAUCGCUAGUAAUCGUGGAUCAGAAUGCCACGGUGAAUACGUUCCCGGGCCUUGUACACACCGCCCGUCACACCAUGGGAGUGGGUUGCAAAAGAAGUAGGUAGCUUAACCUUCGGGAGGGCGCUUACCACUUUGUGAUUCAUGACUGGGGUGAAGUCGUAACAAGGUAACCGUAGGGGAACCUGCGGUUGGAUCACCUCCUUA